CUCGUAGGUGGUUUGUCGCGUUGUUCGUGAAAACUCACAGCUCAACUGUGGGCGUGCGGGCGAUACGGGCAGACUUGAGUACUGCAGGGGAGACUGGAAUUCCUGGUGUAGCGGUGGAAUGCGCAGAUAUCAGGAGGAACACCGGUGGCGAAGGCGGGUCUCUGGGCAGUAACUGACGCUGAGGAGCGAAAGCGUGGGGAGCGAACG
This 207-nucleotide ribosomal RNA is filed under the name uncultured bacterium. RNAcentral's name for it is "partial 16S ribosomal RNA". It matches the Rfam family "Bacterial small subunit ribosomal RNA", at positions 568 to 774 of the family's 1533-position model. The record is from RNAcentral.